This 747-nucleotide ribosomal RNA is filed under the name uncultured bacterium. RNAcentral's name for it is "bacterial SSU rRNA". It matches the Rfam family "Bacterial small subunit ribosomal RNA", at positions 1 to 747 of the family's 1533-position model. The record is from RNAcentral.
UAGGGUUUGAUCAUGGCUCAGAUUGAACGCUGGCGGCGUGCCUAACACAUGCAAGUCGAGCGGUAACAGGUGUAGCAAUACAUGCUGACGAGCGGCGGACGGGUGAGUAACGCUUGGGAAUCUGCCUGUUAGUGGGGGACAACCCGGGGAAACUCGGGCUAAUACCGCAUACGCACUACGGUGGAAAGCCGGGGACCGCAAGGCCUGGCGCUAACAGAUGAGCCCAAGUCGGAUUAGCUAGUUGGUAGGGUAACGGCCUACCAAGGCGACGAUCCGUAACUGGUCUGAGAGGACGACCAGUCACACCGGAACUGAGACACGGUCCGGACUCCUACGGGAGGCAGCAGUGGGGAAUAUUGGACAAUGGGCGAAAGCCUGAUCCAGCGACGCCGCGUGGGUGAAGAAGGCCUGCGGGUUGUAAAGCCCUUUCGGUGGGGAAGAAAAGCCUCGAGUUAAUACCUCGGGGUCUUGACGUAACCCAUAGAAGAAGCACCGGCUAACUCUGUGCCAGCAGCCGCGGUAAUACAGAGGGUGCGAGCGUUAAUCGGAAUUACUGGGCGUAAAGCGCGCGUAGGCGGCUUUGCAAGUCGGGUGUGAAAUCCCCAGGCUUAACCUGGGAACUGCAUUCGAGACUGCAUUGCUAGAGUAUCGGAGAGGGAAGUGGAAUUUCAGGUGUAGCGGUGAAAUGCGUAGAUAUCUGAAGGAACAUCAGUGGCGAAAGCGACUUCCUGGACGAAUACUGACGCU